This 402-nucleotide ribosomal RNA is filed under the name Triticum aestivum (bread wheat). RNAcentral describes it as "partial small subunit ribosomal RNA". Lineage: Eukaryota; Viridiplantae; Streptophyta; Magnoliopsida; Poales; Poaceae. The record is from RNAcentral.
AUGCGGCCCGACCACGCCGGCGGCGCCGUGAAGACGGCCGACUGCCCCGUCUUGAGCUCGAACCCGCCCCCGCCGAAGCUGUCCCCCGGCGUCACCGCCGGCCACACCGUCGUCUCGCACUUGUUGAUGAUCGUGAACAUCCUGGCCGCCUCCGCACGCAUCGUCGCCCCUGCAUGCGUGGACGCAAACGUACGUCUCAAAAUUCCGGCACGAAGCAAGCUCGACAGUGAGCGCCGAUCGAUGGAACCAGACGUGAAAUGCGUACCUGACAGGAGGCAAAGGAGAGGCAGCGCGAGCACCAGGGCGGCUCUGGACGGGGAACCCAUGGCGACUCCAAGCGAAACGAGAAGAGGACUUCGAAGCUCGUACGGGUAUGGCCGUUUUGCGCGCGGGGGGGUAUAA